CCCUUAGAUGUUCUGGGCCGCACGCGUGCUACACUGAGUAAAUCAAUGGGUAAGGGAACACGAAAGUGCAACCUAAUCUUGAAAUUUGCUCGUGAUGGGGAUCGACGGUUGCAAUUUUCCGUCGUGAACGAGGAAUACCUUGUAGGCGCGUGUCAUCAUCACGCGCCGAAUACGUCCCUGCCCUUUGUACACACCGCCCGUCGCUCCUACCGAUUGAGUGAUCCGGUGAGCUCUUCGGACUGCGCGGUCUGCAGUUUCUGCGUUCCGUGCGGAAAGUUGUGCAAACCUUAACAUUUAGAGGAAGGAGAAGUCGUAACA
RNAcentral lists this ribosomal RNA (318 nucleotides) under uncultured eukaryote. RNAcentral describes it as "partial 18S ribosomal RNA". It matches the Rfam family "Eukaryotic small subunit ribosomal RNA", at positions 1470 to 1796 of the family's 1831-position model. The record is from RNAcentral.